UGAGGAAUAUUGCGCAAUGGGCGAAAGCCUGACGCAGCGACGCCGCGUGGAGGAUGAAGGUCUUCGGAUUGUAAACUUCUGUUAAGUGGGAAGAAAGAGCCGUUUUUACUAGAGACGGUAAAUGACGGUACCAUUAAAGAAAGCACCGGCUAAACUCGUGCCAGCAGCCGCGGUAAUACGAGUGGUGAAAGCGUUAUUCGGACUAAUUGGGCGUACAGUGUGUGUAGGCGGCAGGUUAAGUCUGAUGUUAAAUUC
This 255-nucleotide ribosomal RNA is filed under the name uncultured prokaryote. Its description in RNAcentral is "partial 16S ribosomal RNA". It matches the Rfam family "Bacterial small subunit ribosomal RNA", at positions 355 to 602 of the family's 1533-position model. The record is from RNAcentral.